ACGGGGGGGGCAAGCGUUGUUCGGAAUUACUGGGCGUAAAGGGCUCGUAGGCGGCCCACUAAGUCGGACGUGAAAUCCCUCGGCUUAACCGGGGAACUGCGUCCGAUACUGGCGGGCUUGAAUCCGGGAGAGGGAUGUGGAAUUCCAGGUGUAGCGGUGAAAUGCGUAGAUAUCUGGAGGAACACCGGUGGCGAAGGCGGCAUCCUGGACCGGUAUUGACGCUGAGGCGCGAAAGCCAGGGGAGCGAACGGGA
Molecule: ribosomal RNA, 253 nt
Filed under: uncultured prokaryote
Description: partial 16S ribosomal RNA
Rfam family: Bacterial small subunit ribosomal RNA
Source: RNAcentral